CUGACAAUCCAACUGGAUUUCAGCUUUUUCUCCAAUAGAAAGAAUUGUGACUUGUUUACAGAUUGUCCAGUUUCCUCGAAACCUAUCUAUCUAACACAAUCUCUUUCCUAUUGCUUAACCACGUCUAGCAUACAAUUAAGAUCGAACAUACAAUCAUACGAUGCAAGAUUUAUUCAGAUUUAUACACACAGCGGAAUUAUACUGCGGCAUACAAGAUUAACAAUUAAAAGUAAAAGGAUAAGGGAUAGAAUGCACCAAGUUUUAUCCUGGUUCAGUUGUCAACGACAACCUACAUCCAGUCCUCACAAUCCAACUGGAUUUCAGCUUUUUUCUCCAAUAAAAGAAUUGUGACUUGUUUACAGAUUGUCCAGUUUCCUCGAAACCUAUCUAUCUAACACAAUCUCUUUCCUAUUGCUUAACCCCUUGAUCCUUGCAGUCACUCGACAGACUCACACAAAAUCAAGUCAAGCUCCUUCUUGAUGAGGCCUCUCACCCAAGAAGAUCGCCACCAGUUUCUAGCUGGAUUUUUCGCAGUCGUUUCUUUACAAAG
This 550-nucleotide long non-coding RNA is filed under the name Cicer arietinum (chickpea). Its description in RNAcentral is "long non-coding RNA (CARI_LNC003527)". Lineage: Eukaryota; Viridiplantae; Streptophyta; Magnoliopsida; Fabales; Fabaceae. The record is from RNAcentral.